RNAcentral lists this long non-coding RNA (1018 nucleotides) under Salmo salar (Atlantic salmon). RNAcentral's name for it is "lncRNA (ENSSSAG00000105479.1)". Lineage: Eukaryota; Metazoa; Chordata; Actinopteri; Salmoniformes; Salmonidae. The record is from RNAcentral.
GUCGGUAGAUAAGUGUGUAGGUCGGUAGAUAAGUGUGUAGGUCGGUAGAUAAGUGUGUAGGUCGGUAGAUAAGUGUGUAGGUCGGUAGAUAAGUGUGUAGGUCGGUAGAUAAGUGUGUAGGUCGGUAGAUAAGUGUGUAGGUAGAUAAGUGUGUAGGUCGGUAGAUAAGUGUGUAGGUCGGUAGAUAAGUGUGUAGGUAGGUAGAUAAGUGUGUAGGUAGGUAGAUACGUGUGUUGGUGGGUAGGUAGAUACGUGUGUUGGUGGGUAGGUAGAUACGUGUGUUGGUGGGUAGAUAGGUGUGUAGGUAGAUAAGUGUGUAGGUAGAUAAGUGUGUAGGUAGGUAGAUAAGUGUGUAGGUAGGUAGAUAAGUGUGUAGGUAGGUAGAUAAGUGUGUAGGUAGGUAGAUAAGUGUGUAGGUAGGUAGAUAAGUGUGUAGGUAGGUAGAUAAGUGUGUAGGUAGGUAGAUAAGUGUGUAGGUAGACAAGUGUGUAGGUAGACAAGUGUGUAGGUAGAUAGAUAGGUGUGCAGGUAGAUAAGUGGGUAGGUAGACAAGUGUGUAGGUAGAUAGAUAGGUGUGCAGGUAGAUAAGUGGGUAGGUAGAUAAGUGGGUAGGUAGGUAGAUAAGUGUGUAUGUAGAUAAGUGUGUAGGUAGAUAAGUGUGUAGGUAGGUAGACAGGUGUGUAGGUAGAUAGACAGGUGUGUAGGUAGAUAAGUGUGCAGGUAGAUAAGUGUGCAGGUAGGUAGAUAAGUGGGUAGGUAGAUAAGUGGGUAGGUAGAUAAGUGGGUAGGUAGGUAGAUAGAUAAGUGUGUAGGUAGAUAAGUGUGUAGGUAGAUAAGUGUGUAGGUAGAUAAUUGGGUAGGUAGAUAAGUGGGUAGGUAGGUAGAUAAGUGUGCAGGUAGAUAAGUGUGUAGGUAGAUAGAUAAGUGUGUGGGUAGGUAGAUAAGUGGGUAGGUAGGUAGAUAAGUGUGUAGGUAGAUAAUUGGGUAGGUAGAUAAGUGGGUAGGUAGGUAGAUAAGU